Molecule: long non-coding RNA, 3683 nt
Filed under: Nicotiana tabacum (common tobacco)
Lineage: Eukaryota; Viridiplantae; Streptophyta; Magnoliopsida; Solanales; Solanaceae
Description: long non-coding RNA (NTAB_LNC010422)
Source: RNAcentral
UUUUUGUUACCUAAAAAAAAGAUAAUAAAGGAGCUCUCAUUCUCUCAUUGAAGACACUCAGCCGCAGAUCCCAAAAGAGAGACCAUCGUCUCCAUCUCUCUCUCAUUCUAAAAAAAAAUCCCAGCGCCUCACCCCACCUUUCUAAUCUACAAAAGCCUCACUCACCCCAAAAGCAAAAGAGCCGCAUACACAAACGGAAAAACACACAAAAAAAAGAGGCAAAAGGAAAAAUCACACAAAAACGAAAGAGGAAGGCAGAGAACAAAUCACACACAUACACAAGAUCUUGUUCCUUCUAAAGGCUUUUCCCCAUUUCUGUUUCUGUCAUCGAUUGCGUGCCAAGACGAGGAGCUGUAUCAAUAAUUCUUCAUCCAAUGUCUUGGCUGCUUAGCAUAUAAAAUUAGAUUAUAACUUGGUCAUGUGUAAAGCCUUUCAGCUAAUGAAGCUCAUCCAAACCCAAUUAUUUCACCAAAGUUCUUGGAAGCUAUUUUUUUAAGAUGUCGGCCAAGCUCUCUAUUUGAGCACUUCAAGGUGUUCUGUUGCGUCGUCGGUCCGGAGUUCCAAUUAAUACCUCGUUUGAGCAUUGCUAUUUCUUUGGUAUUAGCUUUCUUUGUAUGCAGUAAAAAGGUUAGAAUCCAAUAACAAAAGGUCUAUUUUCAUCUACAUAUGCAUUUGGUUAGUUUCUUUUCUUAAAUGUUUUAUGUGAUUCCUCUGUUGUAAUGACCCAAGGGGUCAUUUUAUGAAUUAAGAUUCUGUUCUAGGUUUAUUAGCCAUAAGAAGAUUAAUUUUAAAUACCUCGAUUUACGUACAUAGUCCGGGCGUGAAACCGGAAAGCUUUUAUGUGAAAAUGUAAGAAAUAAUGAUUUUUAUAAUUUAAGUUUGGUUUUAGUUGACUUUGGUCAGCAUUUUGAGUAAACAGACCCGGAUCAGUGUUCCAACGAUCCUGAAAGGUCUGCAGUAAAAUAUUGGACUUGCGCUUGUGCCCGAAAUUUAAUUCCGAGGUCCCAAGCCUUAGAAAUCAAUUUUUGAAAGAAAUUGUUUUGCUGAAUUAUUAAUGAAAUAAAGAAAAGAAUUAAUGUUUGAAACCAUUGGUAUCGGGCCCAUAUUUUGGUUCCGAAGCUCGAUACAUUUUUUUUAUGAUAUUUAAGUCUUAUUUGUGAAAUUAUGUGAGAAUCAGAGUUGAUUUGACGUGAUUCGGACGUCCGGUUGAGAAAUAGUGAAAUUUAAGUGUUCUUGAGAAAAAUUAUGAGUUUUGAGGUUAAAUUCAUUGUUUUAAAUAUUAUUUUCAUGAUUUGAUUGCAUGAACAAGUCUGUACGAUAUUUUUAGACUUGCGUGCAUGUUUGAUUUGGAGCCCCAAGGGCUCCGGUGAGUUUCGGGUAGGCUUCGGGAUGUUUUUAACUUGUAAAAAUAAAUUUGUUGUCAUAACAGAUUUUGGUGCACUGGUGCUCCACGCUUUUUCUUCAAAAAAAAAAGAUAAUUCACGUAAUCCAACUCGGCGGCAGCAUUUUUUUCAUAUUUUCGAACUAAAAAGACCUAGAGGCGAUUUUCUUCACACAGGUUCAUCCCCAAAGUGUUUCUAAACAAUUCUAAACUUUUCUCUUUCGAUUACCCAAUGUUUUUCAUCACUUUUCAAUAAAAAAUCAAGAAUUUUCAUGGCAAAAAUUUGGGGUUUGGGUAGAAUUAGAGAAUUUUGUAAAAAUCAAAUUUUGACCUCGAAUUAGGGUCGGUUUCAAACUAAUUGCAUACUCGGGCUCGGAGGUGAAUGGGUAGACAGAAUUUGGUCCGAACCCUGAGCUUGGACCAAGCUGGCCCGAGGUCGGUUUUUAAUUUUUUUUUUGAGAAAACGUAGGAAAACCAUAAUUUUUCAGAAAAGUUAGUUCCUUUAACAUUAAUUAAUGAUAUUAAGUUAAUUAUGAUUAGAUUCGAGUGUAUUGGAGGUGAAUUCAAAAGGAAAAGCUAUAAUUGAAUAGUGAGUGGCAUGCGGAUUUGAGGUAAGUGUGUGGUUUAACCUUGACUUGAGGGAAUAGGAACCCCCAACCUAAUUGCUAUGUGAAUUUGCAUGUGCGUGGUGUAUAGGUAAGGUGACGAGUAUCUAUGCACCACCAAAUUAUCUGUUAAACAUGAUCCCUUCCCCGUUUCCAAUUUAAUUGAUCCCUGGCUUAAUUGUUUUAUGAUCAUUGAUGUCUAUAUACUUACUUGAUUUCGUUAAAUUGCUGUUAAGUAUUGUUUCAAGUAUUUUGGAAGUGUUGGUUGUUCCUUUGGCUUCAUUGUGAUACAUAAAAGGGUGAGCUAGUUGACCUUGUUUUAAUAUAUAUUACGGUUGGUUUAUUUGUGAAAUGAUAAAUGAUGAAGUUAUGAGUGGUACGGUUUACUGUUUACAAUUGUUGAGGCAAAAAUAUUGUGAAAGAGAUUGAUUUGAAAUUUGUGAAUCUUUAUAAAUAAAAGUAAUAUGAUUGUCUGGUGGGAGCGGGUUGCACGCCGCAACAAGGAGUGAUAAGGGUGGGCAGGUGGGAUCGGGUUGCACGCCGCAACAGGAUAAAUAAGGGUGAUAUUUGUAUAUAGGGAGGAGGAAUAAGGGUGGACAGGUGGGAGCGGGUUGCACGCCGCAACAAAGAGAGAUAAGGGAGAAUACUUAUGAUUUAUUGAUUUUUAAAUACAAGGAACAGAAAUCUCUCUAUUUUACUCUACUGUUUAUCUCAUAUUUGACACCUAUGGUUACUUUGAAAGCGAAAUUUGAAAUGUGGAAGCUUAUGUGAGAAUUUAGUUAUAGCUGAGACCUGGAAAGAGGUGGCUGAAUUAUUUCAUUUAUUGUUAUAGUUUAUUAUUUUUGUUUAGUUUAGAAUUUCUUUCUUGCUUUAUCAUUUAUAUGUUAUUACAGGUUAUAUUAUAAUUGCCCCGCCGUAGCCUCGUCACUACUUCGUCAGGGUUAGGCUCGGCACAUACUCAGUACAUGGGGUCGGUUGUACUGAUACUACACUCUACACUCUUUUGUGCAGAUCCAGGUACCGUUCAGUGUUAGAGACUUUAGUAGCUAUCAUUCAUCACUCGGAGACACGAGGUAGAUCUGCUGGCGUCUGCAGAAUUCCUGGAGUCUUCUCUUAGUUUUAUAGAGACUGUUUAUUUUACUCAAAAUAGACACAUUAUUUCUUUUAGCCCAUUAUAUGUAGUAUUAUUAAAAGUUCAUGAAUUGUGACACCAGACUCUAGGGCAGUCUUAGAGUUAUAUAUUUAGUUUGUGGCUUGGUUUAUUUAUUCGUUUAUUAUUUUAUUCAUGAAGUUAUUGAUGGAAACUAUCAGAUUUAGUUAUAUUUAAAUUGUCUUAUUGUGUUUGAUUAAUUAUUCAAAGGGAUAUGGCUAAUCAAUUUCUAACAUUGGCUUGCCUAACAAGUGUGGUGUUAGGCGCCAUCACGACCCUAAGGUUGGGAAUUUGGGUCGUGACAAGUUGGUAUCAGAGUACUAGGUUGCUUAGGUCUCACAAUUCACGAACAAGCUUAGUAAAGUCUGAAGGAUUGGUACGGAGACGUCUGUACUUAUCUCUCAGAUGCUAUUGAGUUAGGAAACAACUCCAUUUUUUAUUUCUAUUCUAUCGUGCAAUUCUUGUUAUCUCAAAUACUGAUUGGAUUCUUCUAUUCUGUCGCAGAUGGUGAGAACACGUGCUUCCUCUUCUGCUGAACAUCAUUCCG